Molecule: long non-coding RNA, 385 nt
Organism: Zea mays
Lineage: Eukaryota; Viridiplantae; Streptophyta; Magnoliopsida; Poales; Poaceae
Exons: 3
Source: RefSeq, a predicted model, not a curated record
CUAUUUCGUUUGGAAUGUCUUUUUGUGAUAUUUCAGUCUGUGGUCCAGACACCUUUACUUUUUGAAAAAUGUCGCCUUCUGUCGUUGCCUCAAAUUCCAUACGUUCGACAUCUAUGAAUAGAAAAUUUUGACACUAUAUCUUUGAACAAUUGAUCUCUCAGGAAUAUAUGAGGCCUUGGAGUUGAGGGAUGGAGGAUCUGAUUAUCUUGGCAAGGGUGUUCUUAAGCUUUUGGCUUAACAUUUGAGAGGAGAUGGCGGUCACGAUCACGUGGGUGAAGGCGAGGCAGAUCUUCAUCAGCCGCGGCAACCCCACCGUCGAGGUGGACGUGGGCCUCAGCGAUGGCAGCUACGCGAGGGGGGCCGUACCCAGCGGCGUAUCCACUGG